CCUACGGGAGGCAGCAGUGGGGAAUUUUGGACAAUGGGCGCAAGCCUGAUCCAGCAAUGCCGCGUGAGUGAAGAAGGCCUUCGGGUUGUAAAGCUCUUUUGUCAGGGAAGAAACGGUGGUUCCUAAUACGGACUACUAAUGACGGUACCUGAAGAAUAAGCACCGGCUAACUACGUGCCAGCAGCCGCGGUAAUACGUAGGGUGCAAGCGUUAAUCGGAAUUACUGGGCGUAAAGCGUGCGCAGGCGGUUAUAUAAGUCAGAUGUGAAAUCCCCGGGCUCAACCUGGGAACUGCAUUUGAGACUGUAUGGCUAGAGUGUGUCAGAGGGGGGUAGAAUUCCACGUGUAGCAGUGAAAUGCGUAGAUAUGUGGAGGAAUACCGAUGGCGAAGGCAGCCCCCUGGGAUAACACUGACGCUCAUGCACGAAAGCGUGGGGAGCAAACAGGAUUAGAUACCCUGGUAGUCCACGCCCUAAACGAUGUCUACUAGUUGUCGGGACUUAAUUGUCUUGGUAACGCAGCUAACGCGUGAAGUAGACCGCCUGGGGAAGUACGGUCGCAAGAUUAAAACUUCAAAUUGAAUUGACGGCUUGNGAGNGCGAGACGACACGAGGAGGAGG
RNAcentral lists this ribosomal RNA (619 nucleotides) under uncultured bacterium. RNAcentral's name for it is "bacterial SSU rRNA". It matches the Rfam family "Bacterial small subunit ribosomal RNA", at positions 338 to 950 of the family's 1533-position model. The record is from RNAcentral.